GAUGAAGAACGCAGCGAAAUGCGAUAAGUAGUGUGAAUUGCAGAAUUCAGUGAAUCAUCGAAUCUUUGAACGCACAUUGCGCCCCUUGGUAUUCCAUGGGGCAUGCCUGUUCGAGCGUCAUUUGUACCUUCAAGCUCUGCUUGGUGUUGGGUGUUUGUCUCGCCUCUGCGUGUAGACUCGCCUCAAAACAAUUGGCAGCCGGCGUAUUGAUUUCGGAGCGCAGUACAUCUCGCGCUUUGCACUCAUAACGACGACGUCCAAAAGUACAUUUUUACACUCUUGACCUCGGAUCAGGUAGGGAUACCCGCUGAACUUAAGCAUAUCAAUAAGCGGAGGA
This 337-nucleotide unclassified non-coding RNA is filed under the name soil metagenome. RNAcentral describes it as "partial contains 5.8S ribosomal RNA, internal transcribed spacer 2, and large subunit ribosomal RNA". The stretch from base 1 to 120 matches the Rfam family "5.8S ribosomal RNA", at positions 35 to 154 of the family's 154-position model. The record is from RNAcentral.